This is a non-coding RNA of Agathis australis, 187 nucleotides long. The record is from Rfam. Lineage: Eukaryota; Viridiplantae; Streptophyta; Pinopsida; Araucariales; Araucariaceae.
AAUAACCAAAUAUAGUACCUGGAUUAAGCGUAAGGUUCGUAAUUUUUCUUACAUCUCCACCACCGGGAGCCCAGGUAUCAUAUAUGCCACCAAAAUAAAAAGCCUUGAACACUAGGAGAAAGGCACCAGCACCUAGCAAGAUUAGGUGAAUACCUAAAAUUGUGGUCAUUUUGUUCCUAUCUUUCCA